AGGACAUAAUUAGAAGGUGUCAGAGAAUGCAGAAACCAGUUAUUGUAGCAACAAACAUGCUGGAGAGCAUGAUUAAUCUUCAUACGCCAACAAGGGCAGAAGUCUCUGACAUUGCAAUUGCAGUAUGGGAAGGUGCUAAUGCGGUCAUGCUUUCUGGAGAAACUGCCCACGGAAACUAUCCAUUGAAAGCUGUCAAAGUAAUGCAUACUGUGGCAUUGAGGACUGAGUUAAGUCUACCAAUUAGCACUGCUCCUCCAAAUCUAUUGAGUACAGAUAAGCGCUGGAAAUCGAAGCUUUUCAUCUAAUGCCCCACUGAUUGAGAUCUCUAAUGCUCAGAUUGUCGUUCCAGAUCUUGCUCGUGACUUGGAAUCAUGUUCGAUUUAUACAAGAGAAACAAGCUGCAAGCAAGAUGUUGAUUACAUGUCUAUUGUCGAGGAUGAAUCUGAAUCUACUUUUCAUGAGGCUUUUCUUAGUCGUCUUAUGGAAACUGGUGCAACAUAAAGUUCAUCUUUAUGUGACCUUCCUAAGCAGAUGGAAGGUGAUCAACAGAGAGCCUCUGAACAGACUAAGAACAUCUUAAGUAAUUUAGUUGCUGCUGUUGACAAUUUGUGGUGUCUAAAAGAUGGAAUGCAUACUGUAGUCUUGAAAAAACUUUCAGAAAAUGGAUCUUGCAGGCAAAGGACACCAAGUGAAUUAGAUAGAGAGGUUAAGAACUUGAGGGUGGCAUUUACUGACCUGUUUUUGAAGCAUAACACUUUCAAAGAAACUGCAAAGCCAUCGAGAUAUUGAUGCAAAGAAUAAAGCCAAGCUUAGAAUAUUAAGAGCUAGAAAAUUAUGUGAAAACUGAAGAAGCUAAAGUUGAGGAGCUUAUAAAGGCAGUUGCUGAUUCCGGUGCCAAAGUAAUUGUUAGUGGAGCAGCAGUUGGGGAGAUGGCACUUCAUUUCUGUGAGCGCUACAAGUAUAUCACCUUCUAUUGUGUUUUUUUAUUGACUAACUUACUAAUUUGCCGCACUACUGGUGCUGUUGCUAUGGUAAGUCAGCUAGCAUUUAAUAGUACUCAAAUUUUUUGAAUUUUUUCCAAAAUUCUCUAACAAUAUUCUUAUUUGU
Humulus lupulus (European hop) is the source of this 1107-nucleotide RNA transcript. RefSeq lists it as uncharacterized. The record is from RefSeq and is a predicted model, not a curated record. Lineage: Eukaryota; Viridiplantae; Streptophyta; Magnoliopsida; Rosales; Cannabaceae. The transcript is spliced from 7 exons.